GAGCACAAGGGAACUCCUGCUGAGAAGCCCAUUCAGAAUCUGACCUGGUCCACUGGGUUUGCUGGGGAGCCAAGGGAUGGAGACUCUCCUGAAAGUGCUUUCAGGUGCUCUACUGUGGCAAUUGGCUUGUGUGAGAAGCCAAGAAGUGCAGCAGAGUCCUCAGUCCUUGAUCAUCCAAGAGGGGGAAAAUGUUACUGUCUGGUGCAAUUCCUCAAAGACUUUAUAUUCCUUACACUGGUACUGGCAGAAGCCUGGUGAAGGGCCCAUCUUCUUGAUGUUGUUAAGAAGAGAAGGAAAAGAGAUUCAUGACAAAAUAGCAGCCACGUUGGAUAAAGAAAAGCAGCACAGCUCCCUCUGUAUCACGGGCUCCCAGCUCAGUCACUCAGGCACCUACUUCUGUGGAGGAGAAGCACAGUGACACCCAGGCCUCCAAAGGCUGUGCUGUAACCUGACACAGGGCCACAGAUGCUCUCCUAGCACAGGGCUCCCAUGGGGAACCUACCCGCAGGUUCAUCCUUAAAAAAGAGAGAGAUUUGAGGGAAAUUCAAUUGCUAUCAC
This is a non-coding RNA of Phyllostomus discolor (pale spear-nosed bat), 558 nucleotides long. NCBI's taxonomy places the organism in Eukaryota, Metazoa, Chordata, Mammalia, Chiroptera, Phyllostomidae. The record is from the annotation of a RefSeq genome assembly.